CGAGAUCACGUCCAGAGGCUUCGAGGUCUCCGACUCGAAACCGAGAGCAGCGACCCGAUCCUAACCCGACCGGCGCUCCACCGUCAGGCCACCUCCGGCCGGCGAAUGAGCACCACCUUCUUCGUCUCGCUGUCGCCUACGCUCCUGUGGCCUCGGAUGAUACAGGCAGCGACUGUGAACGGAGAAUCAAUGAUCCAAAGCUUGAAGAACCUCCGGCGACUCCGGCCACCG
Molecule: long non-coding RNA, 231 nt
Filed under: Rosa chinensis
Lineage: Eukaryota; Viridiplantae; Streptophyta; Magnoliopsida; Rosales; Rosaceae
Description: sRNA RchiOBHm_Chr2g0129351
Source: RNAcentral